RNAcentral lists this ribosomal RNA (405 nucleotides) under uncultured Bryobacter sp. RNAcentral describes it as "bacterial SSU rRNA". It matches the Rfam family "Bacterial small subunit ribosomal RNA", at positions 354 to 776 of the family's 1533-position model. Lineage: Bacteria; Pseudomonadati; Acidobacteriota; Terriglobia; Bryobacterales; Bryobacteraceae. The record is from RNAcentral.
GUGGGGAAUCUUGCACAAUGGAGGAAACUCUGAUGCAGCGACGCCGCGUGAGCGAUGAAGCCCUUCGGGGUGUAAAGCUCUUUCGGCAGGGACGAUAAUGACGGUACCUGCAGAAGAAGCUGCGGCUAACUACGUGCCAGCAGCCGCGGUAAUACGUAGGCAGCAAGCGUUGUUCGGAAUUACUGGGCGUAAAGAGUGUGUAGGCGGUGUGCUAAGUUCGGUGUGAAAUCUCCCGGCUCAACUGGGAGGGUGCGCCGGAAACUGGCAUGCUGGAGCGUGGGAGAGGAAAGCGGAAUUCCUGGUGUAGCGGUGAAAUGCGUAGAGAUCAGGAGGAACACCAGCGGUGUAGACGGCUUUCUGGACCAUAGCUGACGCUGAGACACGAAAGCGUGGGUAGCAAACAGG